Molecule: long non-coding RNA, 1013 nt
Organism: Saccostrea cuccullata (small rock oyster)
Lineage: Eukaryota; Metazoa; Mollusca; Bivalvia; Ostreida; Ostreidae
Exons: 3
Source: RefSeq, a predicted model, not a curated record
GAAUAUUUCUUCAAUUGAUGAUUAAUAAUUUGAUUUUAGUGUAAAUAAAUGCUGAGAAGGACAAUCAAAAUUAAAACCUUCAUGAAAGUUUAAAAUAUUCACCAAAAUUGAUAAAGAAAAUUAAUAAAAUGAGUUUUGAAGAGUUAUCUCCCGUAGUGGAACUCUCCAUACAAAAAAGGGGGAAAAUGAUAUUGCAACAUGGCAGGGGCAGAAAAACAAUGUGAUUUCAGCAAUUUUUCAAACAUUUCAAGCAGUGAUGGCCCAAUAAAUUCAUUUAUAAGAAUAUACUAAGGAUCUGUCAAACCAUUUGCGUUUACUCAAAUCUCGGAACAUACCCUAGCUGGGUUGCAUGGAAAAUUUAUGACGUACCAGAGGCGAUCGUUUUGCUGCAUUCUGUAGGCCUAUAGAAAUGGUAUUUUUUCCAUUGACAUUUCUAGCACAUUAGAAUUAUGAGUAUGUCAAAGACAAUUAAGGAUUAAAAUGGCGAAGAAGUAAGUCAAGGUGCUGCCGUCCCGAUCAUAAGGAAGAAAGCAAAAGCAGACCGAUGGGCUAUCCCUAUCUUUUGUAAAGAAUACUGGUUGAAAAUGAGGGAGACAAUAUACCAGUUGGAUCAGCAACAGUUGUCCAUGUGCUGCAGUAUUUAUUGGAUCCAACCAAAUCAGAAGAGAAAACCCUGAAGCAAAUUCAUAUGGUAAUACAGGGUUUUCUAAGAGAGGAGGAUCAGUGGAGUGGAACUGUUUCAUUUACCCAACAUCUUGAGCUUACUGAUCAAGGGAAAGAUGAAGCAGGUUACAAAUGAAAGUUCGGCUGGAAGUAUAGGGAGUAAUACUCAACAAUACAUGUAUUACCUCUGUCCAGACUCAUCAUAACAGAAAGUAUUUUCAAAAUGUUGCAAUCACGAAAAUCUCCUGGGAGUUGGAAAUCAGUCUUACAGAAAUUCAAGAUCAAGUAGGAACACUGCAGCAAAUUUAUAUGAUACAAGAUGUGAAAGCAUUAGAGAGUCUCAAAAUUUA